Molecule: ribosomal RNA, 455 nt
Filed under: Periclimenes colesi
Lineage: Eukaryota; Metazoa; Arthropoda; Malacostraca; Decapoda; Palaemonidae
Description: partial 16S ribosomal RNA
Rfam family: Bacterial large subunit ribosomal RNA
Source: RNAcentral
AGGGCCGCGGUAAUUUGACCGUGCAAAGGUAGCAUAGUCAUUAGUCUUUUAAUUGGAGGCUUGUAUGAAAGGUUUGAUGAGGGGUGUUCUGUCUUUUAUAUUUGUUAAGAAUUUAACUUUUAAGUGAAAAGGCUUAAAUUUUCUAGUGGGACGAUAAGACCCCAUAAAACUUCAUAAAUUAAAUUUAGAUAAAAUAAUUUUUUUUAAAUUUAUCUUUUUUGGUUUAUUUUGUUGGGGAGACAAUAAUAUAAUUUUAACUGUUAUAAAAAUAUAAUAAUAAUAAUUAGAUUUUGAUCUUUUAAUAUGGAUUUAAAGUUUAAGUUACUUUGGGGAUAACAGCGUAAUUUUCUUUGAGAGUUCUAAUCGACAAGAGUAGUUGCGACCUCGAUGUUGAAUUAAAAUUUCAGUUUGGUGUAGCCGCUUUACUGGUGGGUCUGUUCGACCUUUAAAAUUUU